RNAcentral lists this unclassified non-coding RNA (375 nucleotides) under soil metagenome. RNAcentral's name for it is "partial contains 5.8S ribosomal RNA, internal transcribed spacer 2, and large subunit ribosomal RNA". The stretch from base 1 to 120 matches the Rfam family "5.8S ribosomal RNA", at positions 35 to 154 of the family's 154-position model. The record is from RNAcentral.
GAUGAAGAACGUAGCGAAAUGCGAUAAGUAAUGUGAAUUGCAGAAUUCGGUGAAUCAUCGAAUCUUUGAACGCAUCUUGCGCUCCUUGGUAUUCUGAGGAGCAUGCCUGUUUGAGUGUCAUUAAAUUCUCAACUACACUGACUUUGAAUUGGUGUGGCUUGGAUUUGGGGGGAAAAUUGUUGUGGGCUUUUUGUAUAGUCUGCUCCCCUGAAAUUGAUUAGCGGUACCUUUGUGGAACUGUCUACAGGUGUGAUAAUUAUCUACAUCUUAGACAUCUGCUGGAAUGCUGCUUUCUAAACCUUACUUGUAUGACAAUCUUGACCUCAAAUCAGGUAGGACUACCCGCUGAACUUAAGCAUAUCAAUAAGCGGAGGA